Molecule: ribosomal RNA, 1137 nt
Filed under: uncultured bacterium
Lineage: Bacteria
Description: bacterial SSU rRNA
Rfam family: Bacterial small subunit ribosomal RNA
Source: RNAcentral
AGUGGGGAAUAUUGGACAAUGGGGGCAACCCUGAUCCAGCAAUACCGCGUGUGUGAAGAAGGCCUGAGGGUUGUAAAGCACUUUCAGUAGGGAGGAAGGCUGAGUAGUUAAUAGCUGCUUGGAUUGACGUUACCUACAGAAGAAGCACCGGCUAACUCCGUGCCAGCAGCCGCGGUAAUACGGGGGGUGCAAGCGUUAAUCGGAAUUACUGGGCGUAAAGCGCGCGUAGGCGGUUUGUUCAGUCGGAUGUGAAAGCCCAGGGCUCAACCUUGGAACUGCAUUCGAUACUGGCAAGCUAGAGUGUGAGAGAGGAUAGUGGAAUUUCCGGUGUAGCGGUGAAAUGCGUAGAUAUCGGAAGGAACAUCAGUGGCGAAGGCGACUGUCUGGCUCAACACUGACGCUGAGGUGCGAAAGCGUGGGUAGCAAACAGGAUUAGAUACCCUGGUAGUCCACGCCGUAAACGAUGUCAACUAGCCGUUGGGAGACUUGAUCUCUUAGUGGCGCAGCUAACGCGAUAAGUUGACCGCCUGGGGAGUACGGACGCAAGUUUAAAACUCAAAUGAAUUGACGGGGGCCCGCACAAGCGGUGGAGCAUGUGGUUUAAUUCGAUGCAACGCGAAGAACCUUACCAAUCCUUGACAUCCUCAGAACUUGUAAGAAAUUACUUGGUGCCUUCGGGACCUGAGUGACAGGUGCUGCAUGGCUGUCGUCAGCUCGUGUUGUGAAAUGUUGGGUUAAGUCCCGUAACGAGCGCAACCCUUAUCCUUAUUUGCCAGCACGUAAUGGUGGGAACUCUAAGGAGACUGCCGGUGACAAACCGGAGGAAGGUGGGGACGACGUCAAGUCAUCAUGGCCCUUACGGAUUGGGCUACACACGUGCUACAAUGGGCAGUACAGAGGGUCGCAACCCCGCGAGGGUGAGCUAAUCUCAGAAAGCUGUUCGUAGUCCGGAUUGGAGUCUGCAACUCGACUCCAUGAAGUUGGAAUCGCUAGUAAUCGCGAAUCAGAAUGUCGCGGUGAAUACGUUCCCGGGCCUUGUACACACCGCCCGUCACACCAUGGGAGUGGGUUGCACCAGAAGUAGCUAGACUAACCUUCGGGAGGUCGGUUACCACGGUGUGAUUCAUGACUGGGGUG